CCUGACGCAGCGACGCCGCGUGAAGGAUGAAGGCCUUCGGGUCGUAAACUUCUGUCGAGAGGGAAGAAUGCGUGCGGGUGAAUAGCCCGCACGUUUGACGGUACCUCCAAAGGAAGCACCGGCUAACUCCGUGCCAGCAGCCGCGGUAAUACGGAGGGUGCAAGCGUUGUUCGGAUUUAUUGGGCGUAAAGCGAGUGUAGGCGGUUUAGCAAGUCGAUGUGAAAUCCCAGGGCCCAACCCUGGAACUGCAUCCGAUACUGCUAGGCUAGAGUCCCGGAGAGGGUGGCGGAAUUCCCGGUGUAGGGGUGAAAUCCGUAGAUAUCGGGAGGAACACCCAGUGGCGAAGGCGGCCACCUGGACGGUGACUGACGCUGAGACUCGAAAGCGUGGGUAGCAAACAGGAUUAGAUACCCUGGUAGUCCACGCCGUAAACGGUGAGAGCUCGUCGUUAGUGGGUAUUGACCCCUGCUGUGACAAGUUAACGCAUGAAGCUCUCCGCCUGGGAAGUACGGUCGCAAGACUAAAACUCAAAGGAAUUGACGGGG
RNAcentral lists this ribosomal RNA (545 nucleotides) under uncultured bacterium. RNAcentral describes it as "bacterial SSU rRNA". It matches the Rfam family "Bacterial small subunit ribosomal RNA", at positions 382 to 918 of the family's 1533-position model. The record is from RNAcentral.